Molecule: long non-coding RNA, 341 nt
Filed under: Parus major (Great Tit)
Lineage: Eukaryota; Metazoa; Chordata; Aves; Passeriformes; Paridae
Description: lncRNA (ENSPMJG00000010421.1)
Source: RNAcentral
CAUCUCCCCUGCAGCUGUUGGAUUUGCAAAAAAACCCAAAAAAAACAGAGAAUAAUAUGGCUGUUAAGGAUUAAGGAUGCUUUCCAGCCUGAAAUCUUUAGGCUGGCAGUACUUCUCUCCAGAUGUACCAUUUGGCACAUUAAGCAAUUCUUUUCUUAGAAGGGGAACCUAUGGUUUUGUCAUGUAAUGCAAAACACCAAUGGAAUCACUACAUAAGCAAAAUGCCAGUAAUGGUACAGUGGUCCAGCCACAAACAUUGCAAACAACCCAGGGCAAAACAUGGUUGUGAAGGUUUGCAGCUACACUUGGAGCUGGAGAAAGCCAGUGCAGUAGUGCUGUGA